Molecule: ribosomal RNA, 370 nt
Filed under: uncultured organism
Description: bacterial SSU rRNA
Rfam family: Bacterial small subunit ribosomal RNA
Source: RNAcentral
CGUAGGGUGCAAGCGUUAAUCGGAAUUACUGGGCGUAAAGCGUGCGCAGGCGGUUUGGUAAGACAGAUGUGAAAUCCCCGGGCUCAACCUGGGAAUUGCAUUUGUGACUGCCCGGCUAGAGUGUGUCAGAGGGGGGUAGAAUUCCACGUGUAGCAGUGAAAUGCGUAGAUAUGUGGAGGAAUACCGAUGGCGAAGGCAGCCCCCUGGGAUAACACUGACGCUCAUGCACGAAAGCGUGGGGAGCAAACAGGAUUAGAUACCCUGGUAGUCCACGCCCUAAACGAUGUCUACUAGUUGUCGGGUCUUAAUUGACUUGGUAACGCAGCUAACGCGUGAAGUAGACCGCCUGGGGAGUACGGUCGCAAGAUUA